GACGAACGCUGGCGGCGUGCUUAACACAUGCAAGUCGAACGGAAAGGCCCUGCUUUUGUGGGGUGCUCGAGUGGCGAACGGGUGAGUAACACGUGAGUAACCUGCCCUUGACUUUGGGAUAACUUCAGGAAACUGGGGCUAAUACCGGAUAGGAGCUCCUGCUGCAUGGUGGGGGUUGGAAAGUUUCGGCGGUUGGGGAUGGACUCGCGGCUUAUCAGCUUGUUGGUGGGGUAGUGGCUUACCAAGGCUUUGACGGGUAGCCGGCCUGAGAGGGUGACCGGCCGCGUUGGGAAUACGCUACGGCCCAGAGUCCUCCGGACGGCAGCAGGGGGGAAUAUUGCCCACUGGGCUGAAGUCUGAUGCAGCAACGCCGCGUGCGGGAGGAGGGCCUUCGGGUUUUAAAACGCUUACGCCUGUUACGAAGCGUGAGGGACGGUAAUGAGUAAAGAAGCAACGGCUCGCUACGUG
Molecule: ribosomal RNA, 468 nt
Filed under: uncultured bacterium
Lineage: Bacteria
Description: partial 16S ribosomal RNA
Rfam family: Bacterial small subunit ribosomal RNA
Source: RNAcentral